Molecule: ribosomal RNA, 260 nt
Filed under: uncultured bacterium
Lineage: Bacteria
Description: partial 16S ribosomal RNA
Rfam family: Bacterial small subunit ribosomal RNA
Source: RNAcentral
CGGAAGGUCCGGGCGUUAUCCGGAUUUAUUGGGUUUAAAGGGAGCGUAGGCCGGAGAUUAAGCGUGUUGUGAAAUGUAGACGCUCAACGUCUGCACUGCAGCGCGAACUGGUUUCCUUGAGUACGCACAAAGUGGGCGGAAUUCGUGGUGUAGCGGUGAAAUGCUUAGAUAUCACGAAGAACUCCGAUUGCGAAGGCAGCUCACUGGAGCGCAACUGACGCUGAAGCUCGAAAGUGCGGGUAUCGAACAGGAUAUGAGUA